This 305-nucleotide ribosomal RNA is filed under the name uncultured bacterium. RNAcentral's name for it is "bacterial SSU rRNA". It matches the Rfam family "Bacterial small subunit ribosomal RNA", at positions 335 to 657 of the family's 1533-position model. The record is from RNAcentral.
CUGCCUACGGGGCGCAGCAGUGGGGGAUAUUGCACAAUGGGGGGAACCCUGAUGCAGCGACGCCGCGUGGGCGAUGGAGUACUUCGGUAUGUAAAGCCCUAUCAGCAGGGAAGAAAAUGACGGUACCUGACUAAGAAGCCCCGGCUAAAUACGUGCCAGCAGCCGCGGUAAUACGUAUGGGGCAAGCGUUAUCCGGAUUUACUGGGUGUAAAGGGAGCGUAGGCGGCCUGGCAAGCCUGAUGUGAAAUACCGGGGCCCAACCCCGGGGCUGCAUUGGGAACUGCCAAGCUGGAGUGCCGGAGAGG